GCCGGGGUAGCUCAAUCGGUAGAGCGUGUGGCUCUUAUUGAAGAGACAACCUCAAGGUCGCGGGUAAGCUUUAACCAUCAAGCUCGGACGCCUUGCCGCAGUUCUAAUUGUUGCAACAGGUUCGAGCCCCGCCUUCGGCU
Molecule: transfer RNA, 140 nt
Organism: Baudoinia panamericana
Lineage: Eukaryota; Fungi; Ascomycota; Dothideomycetes; Mycosphaerellales; Teratosphaeriaceae
Rfam family: tRNA
About the family: Transfer RNA (tRNA) molecules are approximately 80 nucleotides in length.
Source: Rfam